Molecule: long non-coding RNA, 1172 nt
Filed under: Ananas comosus (pineapple)
Lineage: Eukaryota; Viridiplantae; Streptophyta; Magnoliopsida; Poales; Bromeliaceae
Description: long non-coding RNA (ACOM_LNC030940)
Source: RNAcentral
AAAAUCCCCUGCAGCAUUAACCAAAGUACUUAAUUCACAAAUUUUUCAUAAUCUCCUGACUCUAUUGUCGGAUCGUUUGCGCUAACCAUUAAUCCCAAAAAACUCGCGCCGUUAAAAAUACGCAAUCAAUUUACUUAAAGCGUACAGAUAUAACGCCCACGGGUCUCAAUUGUGAUUCGGCCCAUCCGGCCUCACGUCAUUUCGAAUAUAACUCGGCCUACCCAGCCUCACACCAUUUUGAACGUGACUCGGUCCAACCUGAUCUCCCGCCAUAGAAUAGGAUGCUGGUCCAUUUAAGCCAACAUCUGCAAAUUAAGGUCCUGUUUGGAUGCAUAGCCGAAAAACUCUACUAGAUUUAUAUAUUGUGAUUUAGGCAUGGGUUAAUAAUAAAUAUAUUGCAAUUGUAAUGUUUAUAUAGAACUUCAUAUUUCGGCAGCUCUAUGUUUUAGGUUAUUUGGAUACACACUGUUUGAGGAAGGUGAGUGGAUUUUGUUUUAACUCUAUUUUUUAGCCCUUAGAUUAACUAGAUCGAUCUUUUGGAUAAUAUUGUAUCUGAGCCAAUUCUAAACUCAUUUUUUCUGUUAGAUUAUAAAUUCAGUCUCAUCUUUAAUAUUUUACCCGUUGAAUUUUCGCAGAAUAUAAUAAGUUAAAUUUCUAUUUUUUAUCUUGCCUAUCAAUUUUAGGUGCUUUCUGUGAGUGGACCUUGUCGAUUAGAUUGAAACAUAUACAGUUCCUCGCAAAUAUAGUAAAUUACAAAUAUAUUCUUGUAAAGUUCAACUUUUAUAAGUUAUUUCUGCAAAAGUUUCUAAUAUUUUCAGAUAUGUUCCUACAGUUAGAAUUUGUUGGAAAAGUUUAGUUAACCAUAUGUUAAAUGCUUUACCCUAAUUAAUUUUUGAUAUUUUUACUCCUUUUAUAUUAUACUGUUAUAAUUUUUAGAGGGACAUAUCUGUGAUAGUAAAACUGAAAAUAUAAACAGUUUUCUAAUAAUUCUCUAACGGUAAUAAACCAGAGGGACAUAUCUGAAAAUAUUAGCACUUUUGCAAAAAUAACUUAUAAAAGUUGAAGUUUGUAGUAGUAUAUUUAUAAUUUACUAUAUUUACGGGGAUCUGCAUUGUACGCAAUAGGUCAUUAAAAAAAGAAAAAAAUAAUGUAAAAAGGAAAAAUUGUAAUAA